AUUGAACGCUGGCGGCAUGCUUUACACAUGCAAGUCGAACGGCAGCACGGGCUUCGUCCUGGCGGCGAGUGGCGAACGGGUGAGUAAUACAUCGGAACGUGACCAGUAUAUGGGGAUAGCUCGGCUAAAGCCGGAUUAAUACCGCAUACGACCUGAAGGUGAAAGCGGAGGAUCUUCAGACCUCGCGCGAUUGGAUCUGCCGAUGGCAUAUUAGCUAGUUGGUUGGGUAAAGGCCUACCAAGGCGACGAUCUGUAGCUGGUCUGAGAGGACGACCCGCCACACUGGGACUGAGACACGGCCCAGACUCCUACGGGAGGCAGCAGUGGGGAAUUUUGGACAAUGGGCGAAAGCCUGAUCCAGCAAUGCCGCGUGUGUGAUGAAGGCCUUCGGGUUGUAAAGCACUUUUGGCGGGAACGAAAAGGACUGUGCCAAUACCACGGUUCGAUGACGGUACCCGCAGAAUAAGCACCGGCUAACUACGUG
RNAcentral lists this ribosomal RNA (484 nucleotides) under uncultured bacterium. RNAcentral's name for it is "partial 16S ribosomal RNA". It matches the Rfam family "Bacterial small subunit ribosomal RNA", at positions 30 to 507 of the family's 1533-position model. The record is from RNAcentral.